AAUGGGGGGAAACCCUGAUGCAGCCAUGCCGCGUGUGUGAAGAAGGCCUUCGGGUUGUAAAGCACUUUCAGUUGUGAGGAAAAGUUAGUAGUUAAUACCUGCUAGCCGUGACGUUAACAACAGAAGAAGCACCGGCUAACUCCGUGCCAGCAGCCGCGGUAAUACGGAGGGUGCGAGCGUUAAUCGGAAUUACUGGGCGUAAAGCGCACGCAGGCGGUUUGUUAAGCUAGAUGUGAAAGCCCCGGGCUCAACCUGGGAUGGUCAUUUAGAACUGGCAGACUAGAGUCUUGGAGAGGGGAGUGGAAUUCCAGGUGUAGCGGUGAAAUGCGUAGAUAUCUGGAGGAACAUCAGUGGCGAAGGCGACUCCCUGGCCAAAGACUGACGCUCAUGUGCGAAAGUGUGGGUAGCGAACAGGAUUAGAUACCCUGGUAGUCCACACCGUAAACGCUGUCUACUAGCCUGUGUGUGCCUUUAAGGCGUGCGUAGCGA
Molecule: ribosomal RNA, 489 nt
Filed under: uncultured bacterium
Lineage: Bacteria
Description: bacterial SSU rRNA
Rfam family: Bacterial small subunit ribosomal RNA
Source: RNAcentral